Molecule: ribosomal RNA, 513 nt
Filed under: uncultured Acremonium
Lineage: Eukaryota; Fungi; Ascomycota
Description: eukaryotic LSU rRNA
Rfam family: Eukaryotic large subunit ribosomal RNA
Source: RNAcentral
AAACCAACAGGGAUUGCCUCAGUAACGGCGAGUGAAGCGGCAACAGCUCAAAUUUGAAAUCUGGCCGCAAGGUCCGAGUUGUAAUUUGUAGAGGAUGCUUUUGGCGAGGUGCCUUCCGAGUUCCCUGGAACGGGACGCCAUAGAGGGUGAGAGCCCCGUACGGUAGGACCACCGAGCCUCUGUAAAGCUCCUUCGAGGAGUCGAGUAGUUUGGGAAUGCUGCUCUAAAUGGGAGGUGUACGUCUUCUAAAGCUAAAUACCGGCCAGAGACCGAUAGCGCACAAGUAGAGUGAUCGAAAGAUGAAAAGCACUUUGAAAAGAGGGUUAAAAAGUACGUGAAAUUGUUGAAAGGGAAGCAUUCAUGACCAGACUUGGGCUUGGUUGAACAUCCGGCGUUCUCGCCGGUGCACUCUGCCAGUCCAGGCCAGCAUCAGUUUGCCCCGGGGGUAUAAAGGCGCGGGAAUGUGGCUCCCUACGGGGAUGGUUAUAGCCCGUCGUGUAAUGCCCUGGGCGA